This 108-nucleotide small nucleolar RNA is filed under the name Theobroma cacao (cacao). Its description in RNAcentral is "Plant small nucleolar RNA R71". It matches the Rfam family "Plant small nucleolar RNA R71". From Rfam's summary of the family: R71 is a member of the C/D box family of snoRNAs containing the C (UGAUGA) and D (CUGA) box motifs. Multiple nearly identical copies of this snoRNA have been identified in Arabidopsis, and it is thought to function as a 2'-O-ribose methylation guide for 18S ribosomal RNA. The record is from Rfam by way of RNAcentral. Lineage: Eukaryota; Viridiplantae; Streptophyta; Magnoliopsida; Malvales; Malvaceae.
AUCCUAUGAUGUGGACAUCUUCGCAGUAGUUCUUUAAAACUUCUCUCAAGCUUCAUACAAGGACUCACCAUCAAAUUGUGUGAAUGAGGUGAUGUCAUUCCUUAACUU